GCAUAAGUUUUUCAUUUGAUUCAACAUGCGAUCCCAGUCUGUCAUUGGAUUUACAUUGGAGUCCCCAUCAAUUGGUAUCAGAGGCGACAUGUUUAAUCAUUGUGAAAUUGCCACAUUUGAAUUCUUAAUGCAUAUUUCUUUGUAAAAUACGUUGCAACCCAUUCCCUCAAAGCCCUUGAUAGGCAUGCAACUUCGUUCCUGUCAUGGUGACCCUUCCUGCAACGGCAUUUUGGCGGAUGAUUGUAGAUCGGAGAAGAUGACUCUGAUCCUUGGUGUCAUUGUUGGCGUCUCCAAAUGUAGGAUCCCUAUGACACUACCUAGAGGAGGGCUGGGAGCACCACUG
This 343-nucleotide long non-coding RNA is filed under the name Vitis vinifera (wine grape). Its description in RNAcentral is "long non-coding RNA (VVIN_LNC002117)". The record is from RNAcentral. Lineage: Eukaryota; Viridiplantae; Streptophyta; Magnoliopsida; Vitales; Vitaceae.